This 500-nucleotide ribosomal RNA is filed under the name uncultured bacterium. Its description in RNAcentral is "partial 16S ribosomal RNA". It matches the Rfam family "Bacterial small subunit ribosomal RNA", at positions 30 to 523 of the family's 1533-position model. The record is from RNAcentral.
ACUGAACGCUGGCGGCAGGCCUAACACAUGCAAGUCGAGCGGAUGAAGGGAGCUUGCUCCCUGAUUUAGCGGCGGACGGGUGAGUAAUGCCUAGGAAUCUGCCUGGUAGUGGGGGACAACGUUUCGAAAGGAACGCUAAUACCGCAUACGUCCUACGGGAGAAAGUGGGGGAUCUUCGGACCUCACGCUAUCAGAUGAGCCUAGGUCGGAUUAGCUAGUUGGUGAGGUAAAGGCUCACCAAGGCGACGAUCCGUAACUGGUCUGAGAGGAUGAUCAGUCACACUGGAACUGAGACACGGUCCAGACUCCUACGGGAGGCAGCAGUGGGGAAUAUUGGACAAUGGGCGAAAGCCUGAUCCAGCCAUGCCGCGUGUGUGAAGAAGGUCUUCGGAUUGUAAAGCACUUUAAGUUGGGAGGAAGGGCAGUAAGUUAAUACCUUGCUGUUUUGACGUUACCAACAGAAUAAGCACCGGCUAACUUCGUGCCAGCAGCCGCCGUAA